RNAcentral lists this ribosomal RNA (253 nucleotides) under uncultured bacterium. RNAcentral's name for it is "partial 16S ribosomal RNA". It matches the Rfam family "Bacterial small subunit ribosomal RNA", at positions 524 to 776 of the family's 1533-position model. The record is from RNAcentral.
UACGUAGGGAGCGAGCGUUAUCCGGAUUUAUUGGGUGUAAAGGGUGCGUAGACGGGAAGUCAAGUUAGUUGUGAAAUCCCUCGGCUUAACUGAGGAACUGCAACUAAAACUGAUUUUCUUGAGUACUGGAGAGGAAAGUGGAAUUCCUAGUGUAGCGGUGAAAUGCGUAGAUAUUAGGAGGAACACCGGUGGCGAAGGCGACUUUCUGGACAGAAACUGACGUUGAGGCACGAAAGUGUGGGGAGCAAACAGG